GCCAGGUGCAGUGGUGCAUGCCUGUCGUCCCAGCUACUAGGGAGGCUGAGGCUAGAGGAUUGCCUGAGUCCAGGAGUUCUGGGAUGUAGUGCGCUAUGCCAAUCGGGUGUCCGCACUAAGUUUGGCAUCAAUAUAGUGACCUCCCAGGAGUAGGGGACCACCAGGUUGCCUAAGGAGGGGUGAACCGGCCCAGGUCGGAAACAGAGCAGGUCAAAACUCCUGUGCCAAUCAGUAGUGGGAUUGCGCCUGUGAAUAGCCACUGCACUCCAGCCUGGGCAACAUAGCAAGAUCCUGGCUCU
Molecule: signal recognition particle RNA, 299 nt
Filed under: Cebus imitator (Panamanian white-faced capuchin)
Lineage: Eukaryota; Metazoa; Chordata; Mammalia; Primates; Cebidae
Description: Metazoan signal recognition particle RNA (ENSCCAG00000012046.1)
Rfam family: Metazoan signal recognition particle RNA
About the family: The signal recognition particle (SRP) is a universally conserved ribonucleoprotein. It is involved in the co-translational targeting of proteins to membranes.
Source: RNAcentral